Molecule: ribosomal RNA, 253 nt
Filed under: uncultured bacterium
Lineage: Bacteria
Description: partial 16S ribosomal RNA
Rfam family: Bacterial small subunit ribosomal RNA
Source: RNAcentral
UACGUAGGGGGCAAGCGUUGUCCGGAAUCAUUGGGCGUAAAGCGCGCGUAGGCGGCCCGGUAAGUCCGCUGUGAAAGUCGGGGGCUCAACCCUCGGAUGCCGGUGGAUACUGUCGGGCUUGAGUGCGGAAGAGGCGAGUGGAAUUCCUGGUGUAGCGGUGAAAUGCGCAGAUAUCAGGAGGAACACCGGUGGCGAAGGCGGGUCUCUGGGCCGAUACUGACGCUGAGGAGCGAAAGCGUGGGGAGCGAACAGG